GGCAAAGAGUUGUCCAUACAUCGGUGUUCAUUCAUGUUACCAAUAACUAUUAGGUGAGGUGCAUGGCAUCGAUGGGACUGCAGCAUCCACUAGAAAUCCAAUUAUCGUGUCAAAAUUUUUAUUUCUUCACCUGGAGAGUAUGGAAGAUUUGAUAAAAGAGUGAGAGUCUCUUUUUGUAUCUAAAAAUUUUUAGAGUAAAUUAUAAAAUAAGUACAAACAUCCAAGUAGAAUCUUUGCUCUUUGCUAUUCAUUAUGUCAGCUUUCAACCCUCUAGCUUG
Molecule: long non-coding RNA, 278 nt
Filed under: Elaeis guineensis (African oil palm)
Lineage: Eukaryota; Viridiplantae; Streptophyta; Magnoliopsida; Arecales; Arecaceae
Description: long non-coding RNA (EGUI_LNC049597)
Source: RNAcentral